This 745-nucleotide ribosomal RNA is filed under the name uncultured bacterium. RNAcentral's name for it is "bacterial SSU rRNA". It matches the Rfam family "Bacterial small subunit ribosomal RNA", at positions 8 to 796 of the family's 1533-position model. The record is from RNAcentral.
AGAGUUUGAUCAUGGCUCAGAACGAACGCUGGCGGCAGGCCUCAAACAUGCAAGUCUAGGGGGUGUAGCAAUACAUCACCGGCGGACGGGUGCGUAACACGUGGGAAUAUACCUUUUGGUUCGGAACAACGCAGGGAAACUUGCGCUAAUACCGAAUGUGCCCUUACGGGGAAAGAUUUAUCGCCAAAGGAUUAGCCCGCGUCCGAUUAGCUAGUUGGUGAGGUAAUGGCUCACCAAGGCUCCGAUCGGUAGCUGUUCUGAGAGGAAGAUCAGCCACACUGGGACUGAGACACGGCCCAGACUCCUACGGGAGGCAGCAGUUGGGAAUCUUGGACAAUGGGGGAAACCCUGAUCCAGCCAUGCCGCGUGAGUGAUGAAGGCCUUCGGGUUGUAAAACUCUUUCGACGGGGACGAUAAUGACUGUACCGGGAGAAUAAGCUCCGGCUAACUUCGUGCCAGCAGCCGCGGUAAUACGAAGGGGGCUAGCGUUGUUCGGAAUUACUGGGCGUAAAGCGCGCGCAGGCGGUUUCUCAAGUCAGUGGUGAAAGCCCGGAGCUCAACUCCGGAACUGCCAUUGAAACUGUGAAACUUGAGGACGAGAGAGGUGAGUGGAAUUCCCAGUGUAGAGGUGAAAUUCGUAGAUAUUGGGGAAGAACACCGGUGGCGAAGGCGGCUCACUGGCUCGUUUCUGNNNCUCANNNGCGACAGCGUGGGGAUCAAACAGGAUUAGAUACCCUAGUAGUCC